CCUACGGGUGGCAGCAGUGGGGAAUAUUGCACAAUGGGGGAAACCCUGAUGCAGCGACGCCGCGUGAAGGAAGAAGUAUCUCGGUAUGUAAACUUCUAUCAGCAGGGAAGAAAAUGACGGGACCUGACUAAGAAGCCCCGGCUAACUACGUGCCAGCAGCCGCGGUAAUACGUAGGGGGCAAGCGUUAUCCGGAUUUACUGGGUGUAAAGGGAGCGUAGGCGGCGAUGCAAGUCAGAAGGGAAAGCCCGGGGCUCAACCCCCGGACUGCUUUUGAAACUGUGUUGCUAGAUUGCAGGAGAGGUAAGUGGAAUUCGUGGUGUAGCGGUGAAAUGCGUAGAUAUUAGGAAGAACACCGGUGGCGAAGGCGGCUUACUGGACUGUAAAUGACGCUGAGGCUCGAAAGCGUGGGGAGCAAACAGGAUUAGAUACCCGAGUAGUC
This 440-nucleotide ribosomal RNA is filed under the name uncultured bacterium. Its description in RNAcentral is "partial 16S ribosomal RNA". It matches the Rfam family "Bacterial small subunit ribosomal RNA", at positions 338 to 795 of the family's 1533-position model. The record is from RNAcentral.